RNAcentral lists this ribosomal RNA (374 nucleotides) under uncultured organism. Its description in RNAcentral is "partial 16S ribosomal RNA". It matches the Rfam family "Bacterial small subunit ribosomal RNA", at positions 527 to 896 of the family's 1533-position model. The record is from RNAcentral.
GGAGGGUGCAAGCGUUGUUCGGAAUUAUUGGGCGUAAAGAGCGUGUGGGCGGUCCGGUAAGUCAGAUGUGAAAGCCCUGGGCUCAACCCAGGAAGUGCAUUUGAAACUACCAGACUUGAGUACGGGAGAGGAGGGGGAAUUCCCGGUGUAGAGGUGAAAUUCGUAGAUAUCGGGAGGAAUACCAGUGGCGAAGGCGCCCUCUGGACCGAUACUGACGCUGAGACGCGAAAGCGUGGGGAGCAAACAGGAUUAGAUACCCUGGUAGUCCACGCCGUAAACGAUGAGCACUAGGUGUAGCGGGUAUUGACCCCCCCUGCUGUGCCCGUAGCUAACGCAUUAAGUGCUCCGCCUGGGGGACUACGGUCGCAAGACUA